Molecule: microRNA precursor, 88 nt
Organism: Drosophila grimshawi
Lineage: Eukaryota; Metazoa; Arthropoda; Insecta; Diptera; Drosophilidae
Rfam family: mir-46/mir-47/mir-281 microRNA precursor family
About the family: The hairpin precursors (represented here) are predicted based on base pairing and cross-species conservation -- their extents are not known. In this case the mature sequences are expressed from the 3' arms of the hairpin precursors.
Source: Rfam
CGAAUAAGUGAAUAAAGAGAGCUGUCCGUCGACAGUCCAGUAUAAAUUUUAAUACUGUCAUGGAAUUGCUCUCUUUGUAUGAUAUUCG